Molecule: ribosomal RNA, 497 nt
Filed under: uncultured bacterium
Lineage: Bacteria
Description: partial 16S ribosomal RNA
Rfam family: Bacterial small subunit ribosomal RNA
Source: RNAcentral
GAUGAACGCUGGCGGCGUGCCUAAUACAUGCAAGUCGAGCGAACAGACGAGGCUCUUGCUCCUCUCACGUUAGCCGCGCACGUGUGAGUAACACGUGUAUACCCUACCUAUCAUACUGGGAUAACUUCGGGAAACCGGCGCUAAUACCGUAUAAUAUCUUGAACCGCAUUGUUCAAUAGUGAAAGACGGUUUUGCUGUCACUUCUAGAUGGAUCCGCGCCGCAUUAGCUAGUUGGUAAGGUAACGGCUUACCACGGCAACGAGGCGUAGCCGACCUGAGAGGGGGAUAGGCCACACUGGAACUGAGACACGGACAAGACGACUGAGGGAGGCAGCAGUAGGGAAUGGGACGCAAUGGGCGAAAGCAUGACGGAGCAACGGCGCGUGAGUGAUGAAGGUGUUGGGAGCGUAAAACUGGGUUAUGAGGGAAGAACAAAUGUGUAAGUAACUAUGCAGGGAUUGACGGUACCUAAUCAGAAAGCCACGGCUAACUACGUG